AUAGCGUAUAUUAAAGUUGUUGCAGUUAAAAAGCUCGUAGUUGAAUAUCUGGCCGGUGCUGUUCUUGGCUCCCCGAGUCGGUUCAGCGCCUGGUUAUCCGUAUGGGAAACCAGCUCGACCUUCACUGUGUCGGCUGGCGGAUCAUACACUUUACUUUGAAAAAAUUAGAGUGUUUCAGGCAGGCAAUUGCUUGGAUACUGUAGCAUGGAAUAAUGGAAUAGGACUUUGACCUAUUUGUUGGUUUCUCGAGGUCAAAGUAAUGAUUAAUAGGGACAGUUGGGGGCAUUCGUAUUUAAUUGUCAGAGGUGAAAUUCUUGGAUUUUUUAAAGACGAACUUAUG
RNAcentral lists this ribosomal RNA (340 nucleotides) under uncultured eukaryote. RNAcentral describes it as "SSU rRNA". It matches the Rfam family "Eukaryotic small subunit ribosomal RNA", at positions 594 to 945 of the family's 1831-position model. The record is from RNAcentral.